Molecule: ribosomal RNA, 464 nt
Filed under: Vreelandella stevensii
Lineage: Bacteria; Pseudomonadati; Pseudomonadota; Gammaproteobacteria; Oceanospirillales; Halomonadaceae
Description: partial 16S ribosomal RNA
Rfam family: Bacterial small subunit ribosomal RNA
Source: RNAcentral
CCUACGGGGGGCAGCAGUGGGGAAUAUUGGACAAUGGGCGAAAGCCUGAUCCAGCCAUGCCGCGUGUGUGAAGAAGGCCUUCGGGUUGUAAAGCACUUUCAGUGGGGAAGAAAGCCUUGGGGCUAAUACCCUCGAGGAAGGACAUCACCCACAGAAGAAGCACCGGCUAACUCCGUGCCAGCAGCCGCGGUAAUACGGAGGGUGCGAGCGUUAAUCGGAAUUACUGGGCGUAAAGCGCGCGUAGGCGGUCUGAUAAGCCGGUUGUGAAAGCCCCGGGCUCAACCUGGGAACGGCAUCCGGAACUGUCAGGCUAGAGUGCAGGAGAGGAAGGUAGAAUUCCCGGUGUAGCGGUGAAAUGCGUAGAGAUCGGGAGGAAUACCAUUGGCGAAGGCGGCCUUCUGGACUGACACUGACGCUGAGGUGCGAAAGCGUGGGUAGCAAACAGGAUUAGAUACCCAGUAGUC